This 497-nucleotide ribosomal RNA is filed under the name uncultured bacterium. RNAcentral describes it as "partial 16S ribosomal RNA". It matches the Rfam family "Bacterial small subunit ribosomal RNA", at positions 28 to 507 of the family's 1533-position model. The record is from RNAcentral.
GAUGAACGCUGGCGGCGUGCCUAAUACAUGCAAGUCGAGCGAACAGACGAGGAGCUUGCUCCCCUGACGUUAGCGGCGGACGGGUGAGUAACACGUGGAUAACCUACCUAUAAGACUGGGAUAACUCCGGGAAACCGGAGCUAAUACCGGAUAAUAUAUUGAACCGCAUGGUUCAAUAGUGAAAGACGGUUUUGCUGUCAUUUAUAGAUGGAUCCGCGCCGCAUUAGCUAGUUGGUAAGGUAACGGCUUACCAAGGCAACGAUGCGUAGCCGACCUGAGAGGGUGAUCGGCCACACUGGAACUGAGACACGGUCCAGACUCCUACGGGAGGCAGCAGUAGGGAAUCUUCCGCAAUGGGCGAAAGCCUGACGGAGCAACGCCGCGUGAGUGAUGAAGGUCUUCGGAUCGUAAAACUCUGUUAUUAGGGAAGAACAAAUGUGUAAGUAACUAUGCACGUCUUGACGGUACCUAAUCAGAAAGCCACGGCUAACUACGUG